RNAcentral lists this transfer RNA (85 nucleotides) under Climaconeis cf. scalaris. RNAcentral's name for it is "tRNA-Met". It matches the Rfam family "tRNA". Rfam says of the family: Transfer RNA (tRNA) molecules are approximately 80 nucleotides in length. Their secondary structure includes four short double-helical elements and three loops (D, anti-codon, and T loops). Further hydrogen bonds mediate the characteristic L-shaped molecular structure. tRNAs have two regions of fundamental functional importance: the anti-codon, which is responsible for specific mRNA codon recognition, and the 3' end, to which the tRNAs corresponding amino acid is attached (by aminoacyl-tRNA synthetases). tRNAs cope with the degeneracy of the genetic code in two manners: having more than one tRNA (with a specific anti-codon) for a particular amino acid; and 'wobble' base-pairing, i.e. permitting non-standard base-pairing at the 3rd anti-codon position. The record is from RNAcentral. Lineage: Eukaryota; Bacillariophyta; Bacillariophyceae; Naviculales; Amphipleuraceae.
GCAUUCGUGGCCGAGUGGUUAAAGGCUCCGGACUCAUAAUCCGGCUUUCUAUAGAAUAACGCUGGUUCGAAUCCAGUCGAAUGCA